UUUAAUUUUUUACAAGAAUCUUAAAAUUUGUUGUUGCAAAAAUCAAUCGAUUUUUUUAAUGUGGUGAAUGAUGCCGUACAUUUUCUCACUGCCGAGUUGAAAGUGAAGUACUUUUAAUUGCCGUCAUAAUUGCAGUAAUUACAGUACGUUGCUGCGAGUUACCAAAGGUAGCAAUAGCUCGUGUACUGGCAUAUGUCCGUAUUGCCAUCUUAAUCCGGAACAUCAGAUUACCCUGAUUCUCUCUCCCGAACACGAGAGUUAAAGGUCUCGCGUUGGCUGGGAAGAGUGACGUCACGAAGUCAUGCUCAGACGAACAAAUUACGCUCAGACCAUGAGCAUUAAUGGUACCAUGACGGUAUGUAUGUAUGUAUGUAUGUAUGUAUGUAUGUAUGUAGUGUCGCAUACAGUAUGAUGUUGGAUAUUAUUGUCAAAUGGCGACGAUCAGUAGUAGAGAAGCAGCGUUUUUACACCGAGCAUUUAAGGGAAGUUCAUUCUUCAGUGUCCAUGCUGUGGAUGAGGUAUUGACGACCGUCAUGCAAAUUGCGAUGAGAGAGAGAGAGAGAGAGAGAGAGAGAGAGGAGACGUUUACCCCUCGUUACAUCUAUAAAUAAAAGAUUAUAUACAACGAGAAAAUACCAACAAAACGGUGAAAAAUAAUUCCAGUUGUCUACCCCAUGACCGAAGAAAACAAGAGGAAAGAAAAAGGAGAAGAAAGGAAGAAUGGAUGAAGAUAAGCGAAAUUAAUAUGCGGGAGAAGUAGUAGGAGAACAGAAUUAAUUGUGUCGUGAAUCUGCAAGAAGCGAAUUCUUUGUGGCCCAACUGGGCAAAUAUAGCCCCCUUCGUACCUGGUGCGAGAUCCAACACCGAAAUAAACCCCGACUCUCACCUGGACUACUUCGCAUGGUUAGAAGACAGAGAGAGAGAGAGAGAGAGAGAGAGAGAGAGAGAGAGAGAGCUUGUUUCAAUAGUGUAGCAUAUUGGGACGUUUGAUAAAUUGAAAUUCAUUGACGAACCAUUAUUUCUGCACUUCCGUGCUUUUGUGUGUGUGUGAGAGAGAGAGAGAGAGAGAGAGAGAGAUUAUUAUGGAAGCAUUACGUUAUAAGCACAAGAAAAAUUACGAAUUCUCCCUCAAACCAUUCUAGCUGUAUUUCAAAUCAAAUUUAACCCAUAUUUCGAAGACCGAUUUUAAUCCAAGUUACUGGAAAGAUUUUAUCAUUUUUAUCGCUUCUUUAGACCAUCUCUCCUACUAUGCAGCAGAAGACGCUUGCCAGUUACCCUCACAGCGUAAAAUUUUUAUGCCUCAAAUGAGAAUUACCUUAGAAACAGCAAGGAGCUGAUGGAAAGGUCAACUAGAGACCACCAUCUUUCAUAAUUAUAUAAUCACCUGAUCGUGGAAUAUGACGUUUGUUGCCGGGCCAUACUACGACAAGUCUAUAUCACUUAAGUGUUGCCACUCUGUUGUCACAUAUUUAUCGUUAUGAUGUGGCGUGGAAGGCUGGCGGCAUUUGAGUUGUGAUAACUCAUUGUUACAAUUAUUGUUAUUGCUCGUGUUGUUUUUUAUACCAAGCAGUGAAGGGUGUGUCUGGUUCGUAUUGCAUGUUCGCCUUUUAACAGUCUACGCAUACGAUAGGGUCCACCAGUUUCAAGUUAGCUAAUAGGACAAUUAAAGGUGAUAAGAUAUAAAUCUUUGGACAGUCUCUUAAUUGAUUGUUGACUCUCAUCGAAGAUUAUCUUUGAAUUAAAAUCUCCGAUAAAAGACAAAUGGAGAUUCUGUGAGGGCAUAUUUUUAUCUGUCUCUUCGAGUCCUCGGUCUCUAUAGAUUACAAUGACGGUAAUAGUAUAGAAGGUCUUAUGCUCUUGAUACAGUUAUAUCCAUAACGAUGUUUGAAUGGGUAAAUCUUAUAUUUAUUUUUCAAAAGGACUUAGUAUAUGUUCAUAAGACGUUCAUUUUCGUAUUUAUAUAUUUAGUUCCUGUAUAGACACAUUUAUACAUCUUAUGCACAUUUCCACUACACGUAGACAAAACUACGAGAGAAGUUAUGUUUGUUAUUCUAUUAGGCGUCGUACUAUUGCUUAGCCGCAAUGUGUGCAUUGUUUCCGAUACAUUUGUUUACAUGCAUUUUUUUUAAGAAUGACCAGUUAAUGAACUAAGGAAUAAUCUGCUAGAAGAAAAUGUUUGGGUAGUCAGUGCCAAGUCCAGAUUACAUUGCCACAUCAAUUAGAAUGUAUUUUCCUUCCUGUGUUAUUGACAACCGGUCGAGAGUGGUUUCGGAUUAUGUGAUUAUUUUGCUGGACUUGUCACCCGGUCAGAGAGAGAGAGAGAGAAGAGAGAGAGAGAGAGAGAGAGAGAGAGAGAGAGCCACGGGAAGAAUCUUGAAAUAGUUGGUGGGAGAGUAACGCAGAUGUAUCUCUGGGCAGACGUGUGGGACAAAACGUUUAUUGACAACCGCAUGAUAUUUUGGCCGCUGCGUUUUUCAGCUUUUCUCGUGUCAUCUCGAUGGGGCCAGUAGGAUUACCUCGCUAAGGCUCCGGUGAAAUUAUUAUGACGGUAUGAUGGAAUACAAUUUAACGAGGCACUUAUCACUCACUCUCGGACCCAGCGGAGUCAGCGCAAACGAUCAGCAACCAGGUUGGAGGCUGACUGCACCCAAGUAACCCCUUCCCACAGUGUAUAUUGAAUUCCCUUUCCCUACAUGAUGGAUUGCUGAUCAUUUUUCCCUGACUGAGGUGCCACGGACUCCUUGGAAAAGUGACUGGACCCUCCGGUUUCCUAUUGGACUGUCUACCGGUCUGUGAGAGAGACGGUCUUCGUUUAGAAUCCAUAAAGCAAAGCAAUGUAUGGCUGCUGGGAAACCUUCAUAGAUUGUAAUGGUUACUUACAAACGGUAAUUAUAUUAUCAUCUAAUUGCACCAAGAUUUCCUUCGGAGUUGGGAAUGUGGCCUAUGGUUUAGUUGGGAAGACGACUAGAAAGUCUGUGCUACUUGAAUGACCUCCUCUUCAGGUUUAAAUGUACUGCGAGUUGUUUAUUUUUCGCAACGAUGCCAAAUAAACGUAUCUAAUUGGAAGUUUCUUCAACCUUUCUUGCAAUAUCCUAUCCAAUACUUUUAUUACAUAAUCCUGGAAUUAAUUAUUGUUAUCUUCAAUACAACAAUGGGUCCUCAGUGCCCAUUAUAUAUACAAAUGUAUUUAUACAGGCACUUUGAUGGAACACGUGUCAACAAAAUACAGUACAUCGCAGCCAUGUUCUGGAAAAGUUAAAAUAUAUCUCGUCUUGGAUGGAUGUGGCUGUAUUAGGGAGGUUUCUUACCGAUGUAAAUAUUAAAAUUAUUUUCACAACUUUCU
This is a long non-coding RNA of Macrobrachium nipponense, 3343 nucleotides long. RefSeq lists it as uncharacterized. The record is from RefSeq and is a predicted model, not a curated record. NCBI's taxonomy places the organism in Eukaryota, Metazoa, Arthropoda, Malacostraca, Decapoda, Palaemonidae. The transcript has 3 exons.